GAUUUGGGGGAUGAAGAAAGGUAUCAUAAUGAUGAGGAAGAAGAAGAAAUAAUGGGAUCGAAAAAAUGUCAAGUAUGUGAUGAAGCACAGUCGAGAUACAAGUGUCCCAAUUGCUUCAUCCCCUUUUGUUCUUUGGUCUGUUUCAAGAAGCAUAAAGAAAUUCCAUGCGGGAAACCAGAACCGGAACCCGAAUCAGAACCACUUUCUGAGGAAAAACUUGCUCCUGCUCCAGCAUUGCAUGUGGAGAAGCCAAUCUAUGUUGAUGAGCCAGGCGAAGCGGUCAAUCAGUCGCAACUAGAGUCUAUAGCUUCUUCUUCGGAAAUUCUUGAGGCUAUACGGAACAAAGAUCUUCAAAAACUUAUAUACAACUUGGAUUCUUCUUUGGAUGCAGAGAAUGAACUUGAUAAGGCAAUGGAAAAGGAAGAAUUUCGCAUAAUCAGUGAAAAAAUUUUGUCCAUCAUUAGUUAAUGGAGAAGUUCAACAGGAUACGAUGAGUAGUGCUGUAACGAAGGAAGAUCUUUCCCUUGUUCAGAAGCGAUAAAUAAGUUGUUGGGGGUAUCUACCAAGAAGAUUUUGCUUGAAUCUUACGUUUUACUUGAUAAUUUUAGCGAUACAACUGCAGGCAGUUCUAAUUCAGAUAUCCUUCGAGCUGUGUAAGGCGUGCUCUUCUGCCCUCUGCUUCUGCUUCCAUUUAUUUGUAUUUGUAAUCUAAACGAAGUGUAUCGAUAUAGCUGUUCUUUUUCCUUUCAAAAAACAGUUGAAAGUCUAGAUGAAAUAUUGUCCUGUAUUCCAAGGGUGGUGGAGAAUGGAAGCUAAGACUAGUACCACCUCUUAUUGGUAUGGUAGUUAUCAUGGAUUCUAUAGCCAGCUCCA
This 873-nucleotide unclassified non-coding RNA is filed under the name Hevea brasiliensis (rubber tree). The record is from RNAcentral. Lineage: Eukaryota; Viridiplantae; Streptophyta; Magnoliopsida; Malpighiales; Euphorbiaceae.